AGCAGCCGCGGUAAUUCCAGCUCCAAUAGCGUAUAUUAAAGUUGCUGCAGUUAAAAAGCUCGUAGUUGAAUUUCGGGACCAUCAUGUCGGUCGUGCCUCGGUACGUACUGGCAUUGUUGGUUUCUACCUUCUGACGAACCAUGAUGUCAUUUAUUUGGUGUCGUGGGGAAUCAGGACUGUUACUUUGAAAAAUUAGAGUGUUUAAAGCAGGCUCACGCUUGAAUACAUUAGCAUGGAAUAAUGAAAUAGGACGUUUGAUUCUAUUUUGUUGAUUUCUAGGAUCGACGUAAUGAUUAAUAGGGAUAGUUGGGGGCAUUAGUAUUCAAUUGUCAGAGGUGAAAUUCUUGGAUUUAUUGAAGACUAACUACUGCGAAAGCAUUUGCCAAGGAUGUUUUCAUUAAUCAAGAACGAAAGUUAGGGAUCGAAGACGAUCAGAUACCGUCGUAGUCU
RNAcentral lists this ribosomal RNA (450 nucleotides) under uncultured Glomeromycotina. Its description in RNAcentral is "SSU rRNA". It matches the Rfam family "Eukaryotic small subunit ribosomal RNA", at positions 569 to 1026 of the family's 1831-position model. The record is from RNAcentral. Lineage: Eukaryota; Fungi; Glomeromycota.